RNAcentral lists this ribosomal RNA (421 nucleotides) under uncultured bacterium. Its description in RNAcentral is "partial 16S ribosomal RNA". It matches the Rfam family "Bacterial small subunit ribosomal RNA", at positions 338 to 795 of the family's 1533-position model. The record is from RNAcentral.
CCUACGGGGGGCAGCAACCAGGAAUAUUGCGCAAUGGACGAAAGUCUGACGCAGCGACGCCGCGUGGAGGAAGACGGCCUUAGGGUUGUAAACUCCUUUUGCCAAGGCUUGGCGAAUAAGCCCCUACUAACUACGUGCCAGAAGUCUCGGUAAUACGUAGGGGGCAAGCGUUAUCCGGAUUUACUGGGCGUAAAGUGUGCGUAGGCGCCCCAUUAAGUCGUGCUUUAAAUACUAAGGCUUACCCUUAGAGCUGAGUACGAUACUGUUGGGGUUGAGGAUGAUAGGGCAGCUGGAACAGUACGUGUAGCAGUGAAAUGCGUUGAUAUGUACUGGAACACCAAGGGCGAAGGCAGGCUGCUGGUUUCCUGACGCUGAGGCACGAAAGCUAGGGUAGCGAAACAGAUUAGAUACCCGUGUAGUC